AUUAUAGAGCAUCACUAAGGAUAAGAUUUGGUUGCAAAGAAGUCAUUUCGAGUGGUUGGUCAGUUUGUCCAGGAAAGAGUUCAAGCAGCGAAACCUUUAUGGCCAAGGUGGAAACCUACAAAGGUAAAACAUGUCAUUAACCUAAGGACUUUGAUUAUAGAAGACAAACAAGGAAAAGACAGAAUUGUCAGCAUUGAUAACUUAAAACCAGCUUCUAAAUUUGAGUUAGAAGAUGACAAACCCUCUGACUUACUCUCAGUGGGUUACUCUGAAUGAAGCAAACCGGAUUAAUAAUCAAUUUCAAAUGAUGCCAUUUUCUUCAAAUCCAGAGACUAUAACACCUUUUUUUAUUAUGAUGUUGAAGAAGGUGAUCAAAUAACUGAAGUAGAUUCAUUUGAUACACCAACACCAGUUACAAGAUCUAAUCCUGUUUUACCUAUCAUAAAUACUAUGCUAUCAGCACGAACACUGAUACAACAACAAGGACUAAAAAUGUUAAAGAACUUGUUCAGUUAUAAAAACCUUAAAAUAUUGAGAUAUACAGUACUGAUACUUUUUAUACUUCUCCUUAUCUUGAUAUCAACCUGCAUGGUAGUUUUUCGUCUACAGUGGAAUAAUCUUGCAAAGAGACCUGGAGCUGUUCUGGCAUGGAAUCAAACAAAAGCUCAAGAGGAUGCUGUACCAAUGAUAUCAAGACUAAAAAGAGCUGAACAUUACAAUCUGCAACCUGUAGAAAUAAAGAUGAAUGAGCUACUGCAAGGAAUUUAUUGGAAACCAUUUCCAAAACCUAUAAUACAAAAACAAAAGGUAUUAGGAAUAUCUCAAGUCGUAUUGAUAGAUUCAACAGUAAUAUCAAAGAAAGCAAAGAUCACAACUCAAAUGGGAAGAAAAUUGGUAAAAGAUCACAUAAAUGGGCAAAUGGAAAUGAUACAAGCAAAGACUUAGGAAUAUGGUUUGCCUUUGCAAGAAUACUGGAAACAAAAGACAUACAGAGAAAAAAAUGUGUUUUUCAACAUUUGCACAUUGCUAUUAUGUGGACUUUCAAGGGACAAGGAGAUGGCCUGCAAAUGAAAUAAAAGCAGAUCAAUGUCCACGUCCUGGGAUUACAAUUGACAAAGUCAAGUAUAAAGAAUAUCCUAUUUUUUAUCUAAACACAGGAUAAUUAACUCAAAAAGGCUUCUUUCCUGAAAAUCACACAGAUCCUCGCAUUGCAUUCUGGGAAAACGCAGAGUAGGAGGAAUACAGGUUUCCUGGAGGAGUAAAAUCAUAUAAUGGAGCAGUGUUUUGUACUAACACACUUUAUUCAGAAUGGUGGACACCAGAGUUACAUACAGAUGAAGGAUACCUGCAACUAUUUGAGAAACUUCAGCUUGAAGUAGUGGAUCAACAGACUGGAAGACUGCGAGAGCAAGCAUUACCUACAGAAUGGAAUAAGAAAGGAAAGGAUGAAAUGUUUUAAUCUAAAAGAAUGGGAUACAUGUACAAAGCCAAGAUAUGCAGCUUUCUUAAAUACAAUGUAUUACAGUCACUCAUGCAAAGAAAAGAACAAUCUUUGUAAUAUAACAGUUGAAGAGCUAAUUAAAAAGGGCAUUUGUGACUUGGAAACAAACUAUCAAUGUACAUCCUGUUGUUUCUACCUUAAGGAAUCAAGGACAUAUUUUGUUUUUAACCUAAAGACAUUGAUAAGGGGUUCCUACAUUAUGUAGGCAUAGCUGGGUUUUGGUGCGUGACAAAACAUCACAUUAUUAACAAAAAUUAUGUAAUAUUCCCUGUUUCAGAAAUGUCUCAUAGAUAAAAUAUCCAGUAAAUGUAGUAAUUGCAAGUAUGAAACUACAAAUGGAUGUAAAUAUAUCAGUUGAUGACAUACCAUGUAAAUAUGCUAAAUGUUAUAAGCAAAAUGUGACAGAUAUGACUUAUGAUGAAGCUGUUUGGGGAACAAAUAAUAUAUUUGAUAAUGUAACAUAUAUUACAAUAGAGAAUACAAUUCCAGAUGAUUGUAAUACAGAAGAAAAAACAAAUAAAAGGCAGUUAAUGUCUAAUGCUGAAGUUCAGAUAUUGACAGGGCAUUUAUUAAGUGAUGCAGUAUUAAUUGUCAGUGAAAUUUCAGAUAUUAAUGAUGAAGACGUAAAAAGAGGAUUGAUGAUCUUAAGAGAUCACAUGAUAACAGCUAUAAGGUUAACUUUACAAGAAGGACACAUUGAUAUUACAUUAUUAAAUGUUACAGAAAUUUCUACACAAUUAAGUCUAACGGUAAAACAAACAGAAAUUAUGCUGCAUAUUUCAAAAUCAAUGAUUUAUAAGAGAAUUAAAGCAUAGAAUAACAAAUAACCCAGAAGAUUGUGUAUGGGAAAUAUAUAUAUAUAUAUUAUGAGAUAAUAAUACCUGGAAAUGUAUACACAACAAAUUGGGAAAUUGUUAAUUUUGGGCAUUUAAUUACUUCUCCUGAUCAUAUGGCAUUGUUACAAAUUCAACAAUCAUAUCAAUAUAUUUCACAGUAUUGUGAUAGCUGGGAAUAUAUUGAAACAGAAAAUUGUGUUGUUCUAGGAUAUUUAGUAUGUGAAAAUGUCUACAAACGAAAACCAUGUGGUGUUGAUAAACAAGACUCUGAUUGCACAGUUAAAAUUACGCCUGUAAAAUCACCAUACACUCACAUAAAACCAAUUCAUAAUGGGUCAUAUGUUGUGAUUACUAAUCAAAAUGAUUGUAAUAUCUCAAUGUUGCAAGCUACAAUGAUAACAGUUAAUGAAUCUGUGAAGUGUUAUAAUACAAUUUUAACACCACCUGUGAUUAAGAAUAUAAAUGCUAGGUCACAUUUAACAAAUGCAAGUACCCCAUAUUACAUUGCAAAUUCCAUACAUGACAGCAUUCUGGGCUCAUUUACAUAACAUGCAAGUGAGAUUGGGCUCCUCCCAUGAGGCAAUAGAAAAAUUGGUUAAAAGGACACAUGCAGACCUCUUAAGAAUUGACUUGCAUGGAUUAGAACUUUAGGUAAAUCAUUGAUUCCAAUAAUGCCAGCAUUGGGUAAUGUUAUUUCAAAAAUUGGAGAAGGUUUAGCUACAGUGGGGAAUGGUAUCUUUGGAGACAUACUGGGAAUAUGUACUAUGUAUUAAUAGCCAUAGUAUUGUGUAUCAUUUUAUUUAGAAUUUUUGUCCUUUCUUCCUAGGAGAAAAUCUAAGUAAAAAAAAAAAUAAUAAUAAGCAAUUUUUUGUCAACCUGUUUUCUUUUGGAUGAAAUGCCAGAAAAGAAACGGCAAGCUUAUUAUCAUGUUAUGCUAUAAUUCAUAUAUGCUAUAUGUAUAUAUCUUGUUAAGCUAUAAUUUACAUGCCAAUAACAUCUGUAGAAGUAAAGAUUUAUUAUUUUUAUUAUAAAUGUAUUUUUAUUGUAAAUGUAACCAGUAUAAACUUAUUGGUUAGAAACAUUAAUAAUCCUUUAUUUUCACGAAGAAAACCUGUGGAUUACAAUUUAUUAUCUACUUGACUUAAAAAAAAAAAAAAAAAAACCUUGGAUUACAAAUUGUUAUCAGUGUCUCUGCAUUAAAGCAGAAUCAAGAAUGAGGAAUGUGCACGUUUUUUGAAAGUAAUAAACUUACUCCUACGACACUCAUUUUUAUGAGGAUAUUUCUCCAAGCAAGAAAUACCAUGCUAACUGGACAUCUAUACCUCAUCCACUAAUGAAUCAUACACUAAUUAACCAGUUUCUAUCAAAUGGAUAUUUUGGAGAAUUUAUUUACGACGUAUUACUAAAUGGCAAGUCAUCUUCCAAUGAGGAGGGUUACCUAAGGAUUUACAGUUAUUUGACGUUACAAUCUUGUAACUUAUAAAAUGAAUGCUAAUAUGCUUCAACGAAGCUUUAUGGAGAUUUUUUUAUUUGUAUGAAUCCGUCAUACUUACAUUGGCUGGGAUCCAACUGUUUUUCUUGCUGGUGCAGGUGUAAAACGUUUCUGUUCAACUAACAGUUUGCUUCAAACUUCCCAUAACGGAUUACAAACGAAAUGUUGAUUAUCUUGUUCAGUGAAAAGUUUGCUGUAAAAAUUUCCAUAACGGAAUACAAACAUGAUGUUCUGUCUGGCUCAACGCUUCAUGGACUAAUUACAGAUAUACUCCUACUUGAAGAAGUUUAUGAAAAAGUUCAGUUUAAUUCCUGUAUCAUUAAUGUCGGACUUUAUUUUGUUUGCAUUAUUAAGGACACUUUGAUUUCAUGUCCGUUACUCUGCUGAAUCCCGGACAUUAAUGAUGCAUUUCUUUUUCUGUGAGAACGAAGGGAUGGACACUUUCUUAUCUUUUCCUCAAGAAUGUAUUGGAGGGGCUGUAACAGGCUUUCAUUAACCCUGUGAUACACCUGUUCUUGUAAAUUUAAUUUUUAGUUAACAAUGCACAGCUUUGCAAAUAAACUUUGUUUAUAGCAUGCUUGUCUCAAUAAAAGCUGCUAUGUAAUGUUAGAUUGCAAAUUAAUAUUGCUAUUCACUUGAUAACUAUACCAACAGUAAGAAAUACAUUCUUUCAGCAAGACACUUAUAACUAACUAUAAAUGAUAGAUUUCUUUUAAAUCUAUCAUGUACAGCUUCUAUACAUAAAGACUGUACCUUGUUAUAAGAGCCUGUUCACAUAAAUUGUGAGAAAUAUAAUCUUUAAUAUGCUUAUUUUGCAAUAUAUAAAGUAUAUGACUAUAUUCAAAUAUAUGUUACUUCUACAAUGUGUACAAUGUAUAACUGUAUCCUUUUAUAUGUUUAAACAAAAGUCUUUUACAAUAUAAAAGGUUUUUAUUAUCUGUCUGCUAACAUACUAACCAAAUAACUAGUUUUAACAUAAGAUGUUAUAUGAUCUAAAAUGGAGGUUUAUUCAGCCUUGAAUUUAUAGCUCUAAAAUGGAUGCUCCUUGCAAUUUAAAGUGCGUAUGUCUAAACUCUUGUAUAACAGAUUAUCGGGGCCACAUAGUUGAAGAUAGAAAAAGCUAGACAAGUUUUGUUGAUGUUAAAAUGAUGCUAAAAAUACAUAUAAAAAGAAAACAAUAAAUGAUGACGUCAUCCAAAUAAAAAACUAUAAAAACACCUUGUUGUAAACAUAAGGAGGUGACUCUGACAGGAUGUUAUAGAGCAUCACUAAGGAUAAGAUUUGGUUGCAAAGAAGUCAUUUCGAGUGGUAUGUAACAAUUGUUAUUGAAAGCAAGUUUAACUAAGUCUUUUAACUCUGUGUGUAUAUUGGAUUUAAAUUAAUUUAAUUUUAUAUUACUUCUGUAAGCUGAUUUUUCUGUAUAAUAAAAAUUUAUUUUUAAACAA
Molecule: long non-coding RNA, 5274 nt
Organism: Bombina bombina (fire-bellied toad)
Lineage: Eukaryota; Metazoa; Chordata; Amphibia; Anura; Bombinatoridae
Exons: 2
Source: RefSeq, a predicted model, not a curated record